Molecule: ribosomal RNA, 468 nt
Filed under: uncultured bacterium
Lineage: Bacteria
Description: partial 16S ribosomal RNA
Rfam family: Bacterial small subunit ribosomal RNA
Source: RNAcentral
GACGAACGCUGGCGGCGUGCUUAACACAUGCAAGUCGAACGGAAAGGCCCUGGCUUGCUGGGGUGCUCGAGUGGCGAACGGGUGAGUAACACGUGAGUAACCUGCCCUUGACUUUGGGAUAACUUCUGGAAACUGGGGCUAAUACCGGAUAGGAGCACCUGCUGGAUUGUGGGGGUGGGAAAGUUUCGGCUGUUGGGGAUGGACUCGCGGCUUCUCAGCUUGUUGGUGGGGUAGUGGCUUACCAACGCUUUGACGGGUAGCCGGCCUGAGGGGGUGAGCGGCCACAUUGGGACUGAGAUACGGCCCAGACUCCUACGGGAGGCAGCAGUGGGGAAUAGUGCACAAUGGGCGGAAGCCUGAUGCAGCGACGCCGCGUGGGGGAUGACGGCCAUCGGGUUGUAAACCGCUUUCGCCUGGGACGAAGCGAGAGUGACGGUAAUGGGUAAAGAAGCACCGGCUAACUACGUG